GCCGAGCGGCGGACGGCUGAGUAACACGUUGGUAACUACCCCCCAUUCAGGGAUAAGCGCGAGAAAUCGCGUCUAAUACCGGAUAGUCCCGCAAGGGUAAAGAUUUUUCGAUGGGGGAGGUGCCUGCGGCCUAUCAGCUUGUUGGUGAGGUAAUGGCUCACCAAGGCUAUGACGGGUAACUGGUCUGAGAGGAUGAUCAGUCAGAGGGAAACUGAGACACGGUUCCCACUCC
RNAcentral lists this ribosomal RNA (232 nucleotides) under uncultured bacterium. Its description in RNAcentral is "partial 16S ribosomal RNA". It matches the Rfam family "Bacterial small subunit ribosomal RNA", at positions 90 to 339 of the family's 1533-position model. The record is from RNAcentral.